Molecule: non-coding RNA, 9657 nt
Organism: Oryctolagus cuniculus (rabbit)
Lineage: Eukaryota; Metazoa; Chordata; Mammalia; Lagomorpha; Leporidae
Source: RefSeq, a predicted model, not a curated record
AUAAAGGCGCCUAAGGUAGGGACUCAGUAUAUGUGCGCUUCAGGUUUCGGUUUUUCGGGUUACAGGCCUGUUUCGGUUUCAGUUUUUGGGUUGGCACGGUAUGCACUGUGGCUGGCAGACGUGCCUGGAAGCCCCAGGCUACCACCUUGGGGGACGCCCCGAGAGGACCGGGAGACUGAGGACGCUCAGCCAAACUCCCAUCAGAAAUUCCCCUAGGUGGGAGUUUUGUGCCAACAGCGGUUACAUUUUAGGUUUCAGUUUUUUGGGAAUUGCUUUUCUGUCUGUAACAUGGGUCAAACUGUGUCCACACCGCUAUCUCUUACUUCGGCUCACUGGCCUGAUGUGCGGGCUAGGGGAUCUAAUCUCUCUCUCCUGAUUAAGAGGGUAAAGCAGCAGUCUUUCUGUGCCUCUGAAUGGCCUGCUCUAGGAGUGGAUUGGCCCCCCGGAGGGCUCAUUCCAUUUACCACUCAUUCGCUGAGUGAAAGAGGCCAUUCUCCUGCCUGGCCGUCCUGGGCACCCGGACCGGGAUUUUGAGAAGACAUCGGAGGUCAGUAUUCCUUCCCUCAAGCGGGAUCGGAUCUGUGGAAGUGACCGUUGAGUGUCCGGCACCCCACAGCUCUCCGAGAACGCGGAGUCCCCCUGGCCACGGCUUAGCUACGGCCGAAACUCCAGAGGGAUUGUAAGGAACGGGAGGGAAAUUAGGAAGGGCUGCGACCCGAGGAUCAGGUCUCUCUCUCGGAGGGAUGCCUGGUCACCCUGCCUACUGCUACGCGAGCAGGGCUUAGCUUCGGUCGAGGCUAAUAUUGGCCCUUCAGGUAAACUCAGACAACUAGGUAGUGGGUAACCUUGAGUGAUAGGAGAUUUCAAACCCCACUCAGCCCCCAGACAGGAGGAGGUCAUUGCUUUCUGCCUUCCUCCUCCUCCCGGGGGCUCCUUCCCCCACUCUUUUGCUCUCCUCAUCUCCAUUCCUAUACCACUGGGCAGGAGAAAGGGAGAGGGAAAUUCCACAAGUCUCUGCACCUAGGGAAAAGCUGUUACCUGUUACCUAUCAACCCUUUCCAACCUGGUAAAAAGUUUUCCGUCUUUGCAGCUUAUGGUAGCUCUGGUGCGUCUUAAAGUUUUUUGUGAACUAUUACUGUUGCUAAGCUUUGAUUACCUGAGGACUAAAUCUGGAAAAGAGCUAAAGUUAACUAUCUGUUGUAAUUGACUGAGUGUCUGCAGUAGUCCUAAUUGAUCUGGCUUUGGUUAAAUUAUAAAAGGUUCCCAACACUCUUGGUGAAACGGCGCACCUACCCAACCCCACGGUUAGUCCUGCCAAGCCCUGGUGUGCGCAGUCUUUCCUGUAAAUGGGGGACCACAGCCUUUCUCUGCACUCUAUUCUAGUCCAAUGUGGCCUGGUGCACCCAGGCAGGCAUAGCCAAAUAUCUCUAGGCAGAGCCCCCACCCCAGCGCUGCUUCUUUUUCCUCUCCUGGAGGAAUUUCCAAUUCAAUACCACUGCUGACCUUACCUAAGGGAGCCAGAACCUUAAGCCAUUAACCCUUUCCAACCUGAUGGGUUUUUCUCUUUGCAGCUAAUGAAAACCUAAACAAUGGGUUCAUAUGCUGAUAAUCAGCUCUUUUCUGUGCUGCUGCCCCUGACUCAUCUGAGAGCGUUCACCUGUCUUGAAGAAGGGAAGUUACUACUGUUCUGCAGGACUCUCCACUGUGACGUACGGUUUGAUCCCCAGACCUUAUGUAAGGGAUGACUGACCUUUUCUGUAAUAAUGCCUGGCCACAGUAUAGGGCCCCAAACAACAACAACAACAACAAAAAAGGUUAAAGUAUAAAAUAAUAUGACAACUAGAUCAAUUUUUCGGUGUAAAAAGUUACACUGACGACCUCAAAGUAUGCAAGCAGGUCACCACAGUUGAUCUUACCUAAAGGGUCAUAGUUCUCCUCAUGGGCAUGGUCUUAACUCGCAGGAAAAUACUAAGUGUCAGAAUUUGCCCAUGACCAUAGUUUUUCUAGCUCACCCUAAUAUUAAAAAAUCUCCAAAAAUCAGGAUUGGGUUGAGCACCCCCUUGACUGACAUCAUAGAGGCUGCCUCCUUGGUCUGCUUUAUUAGAGACCAGGAAAACAAGGAGCAAGCAAGCAGCAGAGGAUAGGCAACAGACCAAUCAAUGGCUGCUUUACACGGUGAUUGCCAUCAAGGAGACCCAGCAAGGCCAGUGCACCCCAAACGGCACCUGUUGCUGAUAUAAGGAGCCAGGGCAUUGGGCAAGCAGCUGUCAUGACAGCAAAUGCCUUCUGUCAGCCCUGCCAAGAGCACGGUCACUGGACACGGAACUGCCCUGGGUGUCGAAGGACUCCUGGUUCAGAACCGCAGACCCUGUGGCCCCGAGCUAAAAAGCCUUUGGCUCUGCCCAGCCUCUGCCCAGCUUCCAGCUCCAGCCACUGCUAUUGAGGGGAUGGCCUAGGGUCAGUGAAACGCAAGUUGCCUAUUUCUAUCAGCCUCCUAUUCAGCUCUCCUCCUAGUCCAGCCGUGUAAUGCAAGUCAACAGGGUGCCUCCCUUAAAGGAGAUUUGCAUCUCUUUCAAUUCUCUUCCAGCAUCCCAUGGAUAGGUCUGGGCCUCACACACCCAGCCAUGCCUUAAAAGUCUAUCCAAUAACAUUAAGCUUAGAAAGCCCUCCCUGCCAGUUCCUAAAAACAGGGCUUUCAGUAACAGUUAACUCAGAUAGCCCUACACCUAUUUGGACAAGUCCUCACUGAGGACUUAAAGGGCCUAUCUCUUGAGGGGGGUGCACAAUAAUCCAUAAUAUAAAUAAUUAAAUGUAAAUAAUUCAUUAAUCUGUCUUCUUUCCCAGCCUGAGACUCUAGUCUUGUACAUUGGCUUAACUUCCUAGCAAAACUGGCUACUAGAUAUCCAAAAAAUAUAUAUAUAUAUUGUCUCUGGGUCAAUCAGACUAGACAGACACAAACCCAAAUUUGUACUUUUCCUGGAAAAAGCCAAACAGCUCCAGGACCAGGCCAAGCAGGGCUGGGAUUUCUGGCCUGACAUCUGGUCCCGGAAAUCCUGGCUAUGUCCUCUCCUUGGCCCACUAACUUCUGCAAUCUUGAUGCUUCUCUUUGCACCGUGUGUUUUUAAUGCCCUUGUUCAUUUUGUCUCUAACAGACUAAAAGCUGUUGAACUCCAAAUGGUCAUCAGGCAAGACUUCCAGCCCAUUCCCCUGGAUGACUUGAGCAGCACUCUGGACCGAGCAACACAGUCUUUCCAAGGCCACUGUUGCACACCAUAAGACAGGUAGCAAGAGGAAAUACCCAAAUCCCCCUCGACGCCCACAUGCCAGCUUUGAAGAAGUUACAGAAAACGGAACUCCAUCCAUAAUCCCAAAGAAGAAUUUUGGGUAUUACCUCUUGAGGGAAAAAUAUUAGGCAGAAAGUCAGUUAUGAGCUUAUGUGUGUGUGACAUAAAGGCCUAAUGUGCCCAGCAUAUGCAUCUGCAUCUCAGUCGUCCUGACAAUGUUUCUCGGGCAGCCCGGCCUUUACAUCCUGCCCUGCCCCCUUCUACCUGAUAACCUGCCAGGUGGAGAUCCCCGCCCCUUCUGCCUGACAAAUCUUCCACAAUCUCCCAGGUGCAGCCCAGUAUCUGCAUUUCAGUAUUACAGAACAGGCGGGGGUUGGAUCUUAUUUUCAUGGGGGGGGGGGUGUUAUGCACGGCCCUAAAGGAAAAAUGUUGUUUUUAUGCUGACUGAACCCAGGUGGUUAGAAACUUCAUGGCCAAACUCAAAAAAACAACUGGAAAAACGGCAACGGGAGAGGGAAACUCAACAGAAAUGGUUUGAGUCAUGGUUCGGCCGGUCCCCAUGGCUUACUACCCUACUGUCAGCCCUAGCAGGACCCUUAAUUGUUCCUAAUUGUAACCAUAGGACCUUGUGUGUUAAAUAGACUCAUCACCUUCAUGCGGAAACAAGUUAAAAAUGUUAAACUCAUGGUCAUAAACAACAAUAUGUCACAUUAAAAAAAAAUAAUCUCUAAGAUUAGAGAUCCUCACAACAAGGAGUGGGGAAUGAAGAGUUAAAAUUGUAUAUGUGCGGGUGUAAAAAGUUAAGCUUAAGCUUACAGGUUUAAACCUUCCUGGUGCAGCUGUAAAAAUAAAACAGAGUGAAGUAGCACCUUGACAGUAGGGACUCCAUUUUGGAGCACUUGAGACUGCAUUCUGGGAAAGCAACCCCCCCACCGUGAGACUCUGGUCUGAAACUAUGAUCUCAAAUAGUCGGACAAUAGCAGUGCACUACAUCACCCUUGGCAGAGCACAAAACCCCCUAGCAUGAUUGCUCAAGCUUAAAAGUAGAAAGGUUGCACCUGGGUUACCUGGGCUAAUAAUGAAGAUGUGAUUUGUCUAUGUCUUAAGAUCAUAAUUGCUGAUUGUAAGACUUUAGCAACCGCUUAACAACCGUGUAUUCUCUCCCCCCUUCCCGGUUUUGCGGUUUUUGCCUUUAUAAACCCUGACCUUUGGUUAUUCGGGGCUGCUCUGCUCAUGAUGAUCAGACAGCCCCAGCAUGCUGGAUAAUCAAUAAAGCUUCCCCGUGCUGUCUGCAUAAGAGACGUGUCUCUUGGUGACGUUUUUCGGGCGGUCGACUCUAACAAAACCCACCAGCAUCUACUCCCACACUCAGCCUGGAGGCUGACAGCCAAAGGCACCCCUCACCACCUCCACACACAGCGAUGUCCGACUCUGCCCCACCGUCCAGCUCAGGCAAACAGCUGGAACACGAACAGGCGUUUCACCCACGAAGUUUUCUCUGAAUUCUCUUGCCUUGGUGUUUCCACCAGCUGGCACUGGGAAUCUUAUCCAAUCCUAAUCUAAACCUCAAACUGGGAGAUCUGCCUUGAACCAAACCUCCAAUUUCUGCCCUUCGGCUCACCUAUGAUAAAGCAUUGCCAGGUAGCGUUAUCUUAUCAACAGCUUAUGCUGGCUGCAUUUGGAGCGCCAGUUUUUUUCUUUUAGAUUGAUUGAUUUGAAAGGCAGAAACACAGAGAUCUUCAAUCUGCCGUUUCAUUCCCCAAAUGGUAGCAAACGCCAGAAUUGGGCCAGUCAGAAGCCAGGAGCCUCCUCUGGGUCUCACACGGGUGCAGGGGCUGCAACACUUGGGCAUCUUCCACUGCUUUCCCAGGUGCACCAGCAGGGAGCUGGGUUGGAAGCAGAGCCCAUGUGGGUCAUGGCGUUGCAAAAGGAGGCCUAACCUUCCACACCACAGCGCGAGUGCGGAUUUCUGAGAUGAACACAACCCACAAGGAGCAGGCUAAAUAAUGUGGGUUAUUUUUACGUAUGUGUAUGUGUGUUUUAGGAUUUCUUCCCUGGCUUCCGUAGCCAUUUUUAUUUUAAUUUUUCAAAUUCCUAAUUAGUUUUUAACAGAUCCAAUGUGAUUUACAGAUACAAUUCUAAGAAUACAAUAUUCUCUUCCUCCCUCCCCUAAAUGUUUGCAGUCUGGGGGUAUUCAAACAGCCUCAGCAACAGUGCUUGCCCUGGUACAGUGGAGCCUGAGACAACGAAUCUUUAAAGUUCUAUUUUAUUCGCUCGAUCUUCUUGGUAUUUUUUUUAAGAUGACUGCAUUAAAACAGUAUUUUUUUUAAAGGAUCCUUGAGUUUUAUGUCCGAGGGGGAUGUCCCACUCAGUUUACACUAUUCCCAGUACAGUUCUGUUACUAAAAUAAGUAAAAUAAAGCCAAGGGGUUAAGUCCGUUGUUCAACAUGACAAGGGUAAAUUAUGCAGACGACAGAGGAGGUAGUGCGCGACUUUCAUUAUCGUGGCAUGAAAUCACAAGGUAACCGAAACGAACUCAUGAGCAACAGCCUGUAAGUCAUCAACUGGCAGUAUUUUUCAGAAUUACAACUAAAAACUCUGGUGGUGCGUGGGGACGCCCCCUUCCUGCCCUUGGAAAUGCUCCCAUACCAAGAUUCUAAAACGCGGGCCUGGAUCACUUUCGUGACCGCGACAGUAACAGCGAAACCAAACCAGCGCGGGUUCCAAGACCGGCCUACGGGCAGCACCGCCCUCGGCCUCACCCCAAAGCCAGGAGCUCCAAAUUAGCCGGGCCGCGCCGGCCACCCGCGCCCAGGUCCCCGCCCCUGCGUGGCAAGGACAGCCUAUUCUAGCAAAAGGUAACCGGAGUUACUCCGCGGCGCAACUGUGGCUCCGGCCUUCCCCCCCAAUCCGGGAUUCUUCUAGGACACACUCCCCUCUACUCCCGCCCUCAUCUUAGCCCCAAAGCCGCCCUCCCAUCACUUCCGGGUAGGACUCCGCGCUCGGACCCGGAAGUGGCAGGCGGGCAAGACCCAGGGCGCAAGCGCAGUCCCGCCUGUGCCUCGUUGUCCCGCCCCUUCCAAGUCUCCCGGCCAACCUGUUCCGGGCGUCGCCGGGGCUUCAGGUUCUCUUUCCGUCUCGCGUGAUCACCUGACGGGGAGGGGCGGGAUACCGGAAGCGCUUCACUCCCUCCCCCAGCUCGACAAUUUCUCGACUUUCUGGGCUGGUGUCCCCCUCGAGGGGGUCGCUCGGGGUGGGGGUGGGGUCUCCCCUGACCGGCAGCGGGGACUGGUCUGCCCCGCGGCCUGCGGCGGGCGCUGUGGGAGGUGCCGCCCGCGCCCACGCCUCAGCCAGUCACGCGCCGAGAGGCCGCGGCGAAGGAGAAGGGGCGGGGCGGGGCGGGGCGGGGCGCUGCGUGGGGGCGGGGCCUCGCGCUGUCCCGGAGCGGCUCUUAGGGCCGGACCCGCGCUGACCCUGCGGACACCCGCCGCCGCCGCCGCCGAGCCCAGCACUGCCCACCAGCUGCCACCAUGAACCCGGACCUGCGCAGGGAGCGGGCCUCCGCCACCUUCAACCCGGAGCUGAUCACUAACCUGCUGGACGGCAGCGCGGAGAAUACCCGGCGCCGUCGGGAGAUCGAGAGCUUGAUCCUGAACGACCCCGACUUCCAGCACGAGGACUUCAACUUCCUCACGCGCAGCCAGCGCUACGAGGUGGCCGUCAGGAAAAGCGCCACCAUGGUGAGGAAGAUGAGGGAGUUCGGCAUCGCGGACCCCGAGGAGAUCAUGUGGUUUAAGAAGUAGGUGUGCCCGCCGGCCGGGUGUUUUGUGGUUUGGGGGCCACUUUCAAGCUCAGUGUGUGGGAGACAGCGCCGGCUUCCGUGUGGCUGGGGUCUGCCGGUGUCCACCUCGGUCUCGCUAGAACGCUCCUUGGUCUCCAGCUUCUGCGUUUGUCCAGCGCUGUGAAGUGCGAAAUGACUUCGCUUUUUGUCAGGGUACCUGCGUUUCCGAACCCGAAAGGUGUUUGUUUUUCCCCCAAGUUGCAACACCAAACCCUCUGUGUGUGUGGAGCAGGAGCGGAUUCUGUUUUCGUAGAGUUGUGAGGAUCUUGGGAUUCCCACUUCUGGGAAUACGUGGGCAGCGGGGAGGGGCUCAAGCCUCGGAGCGAACACCAGGCGUUCCGAGAACCCGGGGUUGUUGAGUCCCUGGCUGACUGAACGGCUGUCCCGGCAAAGUCAGGACCCCCCCCCCCCCCCCCCACUGCAAAUAAAAGCCGUCUACCCGAUCCUGGGACACGGUCUCCGGCCUGUCGCGGCUCCUACACUUGCCAUUGUUCCUGGGCCUUUCUACGUUUUAGGGGGACUCCUGUAUCGCGAGCAGUGAGGAUUCAGGCUGUGACUGCUGGAUUUUCAAGAAUGCAGACAAAGGAAACAUGUUCUAAGUGCCGCCCUUGUGUAGUGAUGCUUACUCCUUCCUUGUAUGCUGCCUCUGGCGCCUGGUGUCUGUUUCCAACUUGACGUGAAUGAAACGGGUUAUUUUGGACAGUAGGGCUCUCCUCAGACUGCACAUCCAGUUUCAGUUAUGAAGGCACUUGGUUGGUUGGUUGGUUGGUUGGUUUUUGGUAGCCCAGAUCUGGAGUACUCACCAGCUUCCAAAUGCUCUCUAUUGUUUUUAGUUUGAAAUUCAUAGCUGUGGGGAUAUUGAGGUAGAGUAACUCUUAGAAGAUUAUGUUACUGAGUGACAUGAGUUGGCUUUGAAAACUUUCAAAAUUAGUAAGGUUUUAUUCCUCAGGAAAAACAAGAUGAAGAGGAUUUUAUUUUUGUUGUGUUUUUCUAAAUGGCUGAUGCGUUGUGUUUCAGAGUUGGUAGCGACGAUUUCCUAACCUCCGGUAGUUCAUGUGUAACCAGAACAGGUGAAGUCACGGUGAAACAGAGCAGAGUCCUCCGUGCGGGUUAAAGGUCUGUGGACACCAGCCAGUUUUGUGGAUUAUUUUUCGUGUGGCGUCUUAAAGUACAAACUCUAACACACCCUUUGACAUCUCUCCAAUGUCCCUAAGUUGUGAUAGGGAGAUCAGUUCAAGCUAGAGAUGAGGAUUGAAAAUUAAUCUUGGCAAGUACUGCGCAUCUGAGCCUGGUUACACAAUCCCAUCAGCGUUGCAAUCCCGUAGGUAAUAAUGCAGCAGUGUUUUGACUGUGACUCAAAAAUAAUGGGACAGGAAGCUGUGACUUAUCAGUAAUUGUGAAGUACACUGGAUUUCUUACUUGUUAAAAUGGGGCAGGAUGCUGGAAUUGACAUAACAGCAAGAUUUCUGUAAUUUUUGGUAUUUACGCCUUUUAUAUCAAUUUCUCUUAUCACAAAAUAAAAUUAUUUAUUUAUGAGACUGUUUUGAAGUUGGCUGAAUAUUAGAACAUAACUUAGAGAUCUCUUUUUUUUAUUUUAUUUAUUUAGUUGAGAGAGUUACAGACAGGGAGAGGGAGAAGCAGAGAAAAAUGUCCUCCAUCCACUGAUUCACUUCCCAAAUGGCCGCAAGGGCCAGAGCUGAGCUGAUAAGCCAGGAGCGAGGAGUCUCUCUGGGUCCCCCACGCUGGUGCAGGCGCCAAGCACCUGGGCCAUCUUCCACUGUUUCCCCAGGCCAUUAGCAGAGAGCUGGAUCAGAAGUGGAGCAGCCGGACUCAAACCAGCGCCCAUAUAGGAUGCCGCUAUUGCAGGCAGCCGCUUUACUCACUACACCACAGCCUGACAACCCCUCAUUUUGGAAAAGAACAUAUCUGGGGCCGGCGCCAUGGCUCACUUGGUUAAUCCUCUGCCUGUGGCACUGGCAUCCCAUAUGAGCGCUGGGUUCUAGUCCCGGUUGCUCCUCUUCCAGUCCAGCUCUCUGCUGUGGCCCGGGGAGGCCGUGGAGGGUAGCCCAAGUGGUUGGGCCCUGCACCCACAUAGGAGACCAGGAGGAAGCACCUGGCUCCUGGCUUCAGAUUGGCGCAGUGCUGACCGUAGCAGCCAUUUGGGGGUGAACCAACGGAAGGAAGACCUUUCUCUCUGUCUCUCUCUCUCACUGUCUAACUACCUGUCAAAUAAAAAAAAAGUAAUUAAAAAAAAGAGAAGAAAAAGAACAUAUCUAGUGGCCUUUGUUGUGUCCCACGUGUUUCACUGUUUCCUUGGAUGACUUUAUAAACCUCAGAGUGCUUUACUGAAUUACUCAGCCUUCUCAGUUCCCUUUAGGGAACACAAGUGUCUUACAUUUCUACCAUUUUUAGUAACAGAAUUACAGGUUUUUUUUCCUCAGAAGUGCAUAGGAAAAGAAAUAGGGAAUGGGUUAAUACUGCUGGUUUUAGUAAGAAAGGCUUGGUGUGUGGUGCUAUGCUGUUGUUCCCUAU